GGCGGCGUACAGCUGAGCGGUGGUGGUCAGCUCGGCGCCGUGACUCAGACAGUAAGCCUUGGCUUCCCAGAAGGUGAAGCGCUGGGGGGCGGAGCCAUGGAACACCUCACCUUUACAGAAAGAGACAGCAGUACACGUCGUACAGCUCAUCCGGCUCCAGCAGUCCGUAGUUCCUGACUCCUGGCAGUCCGUCCAUGUCCCCGAAACAUCCCUCUCUGGGCAUCUGAAUUGGAUAUCUGUGGAGGGAAAUAUCACACAGCGCUGAAACACUGAGCACCUCUUCUCCUGCAGAUACAGCUCAGGCAUCAUGACAUCAUCACAUCUGGAUCUGUACAGAUCAACAGAUCUUUGGUUUUAUACCCUCACAACUGAUAUUUAUAUUCAACUUGACUUUAUCCUGGUGGUUUCCUGCAGCCAAGUGCAACAGCCGUCAGCUGAUCAGCAAGAGGAGUUUUUGGAGGGUUGUGUGUGUGUGUGUGUGUGUGUGUGUGUGUGUGUGUGUGUGUGUGUGUGUGUGUGUGUGUGUGUGUGUGUGUGUGUGUGACGGCCUGUGUGUCCUUGGAGCUGUGGAGCUGCUGUGACUCAGACUUCAGGAGCUGCAGAAUGUGAGCUGAAUUCUGAUUCCCUGAAUUUCUCCCCGGAGGGUCGGACCGCAGCCACCGACCACCAACUUAACUAGAUUUACCAUCAUUACCACCGUUUCUCCUCCACUAUGUUCACUUCUCUUUCUUCUGCUCUGUUCGUCUUUGUUGUUAUUGUGAUCCUGUUUUUUCUGCUCGGUGAUAACUUAAAGAGACAGUUCACCCCAAUAAAAUCCCAAAGUACACAUUUU
Long non-coding RNA from Acanthopagrus latus (yellowfin seabream), 832 nucleotides. RefSeq lists it as uncharacterized. The record is from RefSeq and is a predicted model, not a curated record. The transcript has 4 exons. Lineage: Eukaryota; Metazoa; Chordata; Actinopteri; Spariformes; Sparidae.